CUCUAACUUGAGGUUUAAGGGAAAAAAAAACUUUAUUAACCUAAAACUACAAAGGAAAACACUAAGGAAAACACACAAAACACAUAGAACCCAAGAUGAAAACCUUCUAAAUUUCUUCCUCCUCCCCCCACCUAGAUUUCCAAUUCUAUUACCACCAAAUCUACCCUUUAGAUAAUCAGUUCUCAAUUCCUCGAGAAGAGAGAAGUCCCUCUUGCACCACAGACUUCCCCAGGAAACAGUCGAAACUUCUCGUGUUUCCAUGUCACGUGUGGCACCGCCCGGAGAACAUUUUGCCAUCGUGACUUCUUCCUUCCAUGUCCAGUGCUCUCACCACUGCACAUGGACCAGAGCUGCUUCUAGGGUUUUUCUCUUUAAGGAUACUUUGUCCAGUUCCAAAAAGAGCACAGUCCCUCUCCCUUUGGGACACCUGUCCCCCCCAAAUUUCACCCCCUGGGGCCGAGGGGUCUCUUGAACAGAGAUCAUCUUCCUCUUCCUCUUCCUUUCGAAGACGGAGGGCACCACCACCACCCUCCUCACCCGUCGUCUCUGUUCACACUCCUCCACAUCACUGCACUCUCCUGGCUCUGAGCCAUUGCCUCCCCCUAGAAUGCAGUAUCUGUGUCACAGGAACACAAGGGGUUCUGCUGUGGCUAUACAAGAAAAGUCCAGCCAAAGGCCACUCCAUCAUCUCCUCCCACCUAGGAUUCUUCUCAACAUCCUCUCAAUCUCAUCAACUUCAGGAGGAAUCAGCAUUUGCAAGGUUUCCAUCCUCCCCAGAAGGGUUAAAAGUCCCAGGCUCUGCCGGUUUACUUCAUGAACUCCCACGGCUGGCUGCCCUGCUGGGCACCCCCCCCUUCUCCUUCACGCCGGCCGCGCUAUCACAGGCGCCGGCUCUGUCUCUCUCCCUCUCUCCCGGGGGGGGGGGGAAUGGAGGAUGGCUGCCCGAAGCCCUUGCAAUGUUCUCCUCCACCCUUGGGCCCAGGCCUGGCCUACCUCUGGCUCCCCUCCCCCCCCCUGCCCAGCUCAGAGCUGGGCAGGGGGGUCUGCUCAGUCUCAAGCGGAACUCCAAAGAGGAUUCCCCUGGGAGAUCACAGCUUUUAACCCCUGUGUUCUCAGAGGCGUAUCCUGCCCUCAGUGGACAAACCAGGUGCCAAUAUUAAAUCUGAACACUGAUUGGCUUGCCCACACCAUCACAAAAAACUUCAUUUCCUUUCAAACCACGACAA
Molecule: long non-coding RNA, 1226 nt
Filed under: Serinus canaria (Common canary)
Lineage: Eukaryota; Metazoa; Chordata; Aves; Passeriformes; Fringillidae
Description: lncRNA (ENSSCAG00000011678.1)
Source: RNAcentral